RNAcentral lists this transfer RNA (78 nucleotides) under Acropora cervicornis. Its description in RNAcentral is "tRNA-Thr". It matches the Rfam family "tRNA". Rfam says of the family: Transfer RNA (tRNA) molecules are approximately 80 nucleotides in length. Their secondary structure includes four short double-helical elements and three loops (D, anti-codon, and T loops). Further hydrogen bonds mediate the characteristic L-shaped molecular structure. tRNAs have two regions of fundamental functional importance: the anti-codon, which is responsible for specific mRNA codon recognition, and the 3' end, to which the tRNAs corresponding amino acid is attached (by aminoacyl-tRNA synthetases). tRNAs cope with the degeneracy of the genetic code in two manners: having more than one tRNA (with a specific anti-codon) for a particular amino acid; and 'wobble' base-pairing, i.e. permitting non-standard base-pairing at the 3rd anti-codon position. The record is from RNAcentral. Lineage: Eukaryota; Metazoa; Cnidaria; Anthozoa; Scleractinia; Acroporidae.
GGCUUCAUAGCUCAGUUGGUUAGAGCGUCGCACCGGUAUCGCGAGGGUACCGUGAGGGUUCAAACCCCGUUGAAGUCC